This 492-nucleotide ribosomal RNA is filed under the name uncultured bacterium. RNAcentral describes it as "partial 16S ribosomal RNA". It matches the Rfam family "Bacterial small subunit ribosomal RNA", at positions 29 to 507 of the family's 1533-position model. The record is from RNAcentral.
AGUGAACGCUGGCGGUAGGCCUAACACAUGCAAGUCGAACGGCAGCACAGUAAGAGCUUGCUCUUACGGGUGGCGAGUGGCGGACGGGUGAGGAAUACAUCGGAAUCUACUUUUUCGUGGGGGAUAACGUAGGGAAACUUACGCUAAUACCGCAUACGACCUACGGGUGAAAGCAGGGGAUCUUCGGACCUUGCGCGAUUGAAUGAGCCGAUGUCGGAUUAGCUAGUUGGCGGGGUAAAGGCCCACCAAGGCGACGAUCCGUAGCUGGUCUGAGAGGAUGGUCAGCCACAAUGGAACUGGGACACGGUCCAGACUCCUACGGGAGGCAGCAGUGGGGAAUAUUGGACAAUGGGCGCAAGCCUGAUCCAGCCAUACCGCGUGGGUGAAGAAGGCCUUCGGGUUGUAAAGCCCUUUUGUUGGGAAAGAAAAGCAGCAGGUUAAUACCCCGCUGUUCUGACGGUACCCAAAGGAUAAGCACCGGCUAACUUCGUG